Molecule: transfer RNA, 61 nt
Filed under: Listeria monocytogenes
Lineage: Bacteria; Bacillati; Bacillota; Bacilli; Caryophanales; Listeriaceae
Description: tRNA-Lys
Rfam family: tRNA
About the family: Transfer RNA (tRNA) molecules are approximately 80 nucleotides in length. Their secondary structure includes four short double-helical elements and three loops (D, anti-codon, and T loops).
Source: RNAcentral
GGUUGUUAGCUCAGUUGGUAGAGCAGCUGACUCUUAAUCAGCGGGUCGUGGGUUCGAAACC